RNAcentral lists this ribosomal RNA (495 nucleotides) under uncultured bacterium. RNAcentral's name for it is "partial 16S ribosomal RNA". It matches the Rfam family "Bacterial small subunit ribosomal RNA", at positions 28 to 507 of the family's 1533-position model. The record is from RNAcentral.
GACGAACGCUGGCGGCGUGCCUAAUACAUGCAAGUAGAACGCUGAAGGAGGAGCUUGCUUCUCUGGGUGAGUUGCGAACGGGUGAGUAACGCGUAGGUAACCUGCCUAGUAGCGGGGGAUAACUAUUGGAAACGAUAGCUAAUACCGCAUAAUAGUAGAUGUUGCAUGACAUUUGCUUAAAAGGUGCAAUUGCAUCACUACCAGAUGGACCUGCGUUGUAUUAGCUAGUUGGUGGGGUAACGGCUCACCAAGGCGACGAUACAUAGCCGACCUGAGAGGGUGAUCGGCCACACUGGGACUGAGACACGGCCCAGACUCCUACGGGAGGCAGCAGUAGGGAAUCUUCGGCAAUGGACGGAAGUCUGACCGAGCAACGCCGCGUGAGUGAAGAAGGUUUUCGGAUCGUAAAGCUCUGUUGUAAGAGAAGAACGAGUGUGAGAGUGGAAAGUUCACACUGUGACGGUAUCUUACCAGAAAGGGACGGCUAACUACGUG